This 71-nucleotide ribosomal RNA is filed under the name Cohnella cellulosilytica. RNAcentral's name for it is "partial 16S ribosomal RNA". It matches the Rfam family "Bacterial small subunit ribosomal RNA", at positions 1463 to 1533 of the family's 1533-position model. RNAcentral also lists the same sequence under 2 other names. Lineage: Bacteria; Bacillati; Bacillota; Bacilli; Caryophanales; Paenibacillaceae. The record is from RNAcentral.
UGGGGUAGAUGAUUGGGGUGAAGUCGUAACAAGGUAGCCGUAUCGGAAGGUGCGGCUGGAUCACCUCCUUU